RNAcentral lists this ribosomal RNA (253 nucleotides) under uncultured bacterium. RNAcentral describes it as "partial 16S ribosomal RNA". It matches the Rfam family "Bacterial small subunit ribosomal RNA", at positions 524 to 776 of the family's 1533-position model. The record is from RNAcentral.
UACGUAGGGUGCGAGCGUUGUCCGGAAUUAUUGGGCGUAAAGAGCUCGUAGGCGGUCUGUCGCGUCUGUUGUGAAAACUCGAGGCUCAACCUCGGGCUUGCAGUGGAUACGGGCAGACUAGAGUGCGGUAGGGGAGACUGGAAUUCCUGGUGUAGCGGUGGAAUGCGCAGAUAUCAGGAGGAACACCGAUGGCGAAGGCAGGUCUCUGGGCCGCAACUGACGCUGAGGAGCGAAAGCAUGGGGAGCGAACAGG